UACGGAGGGUGCAAGCGUUGUUCGGAAUCACUGGGCGUAAAGCGCGUGUAGGCGGUUCUCUAAGUCUGGUGUGAAAGCCCGGGGCUCAUCCCCGGAAGUGCACUGGAGACUGGAGGGCUUGAGUACCGGAGAGGAGGGUGGAAUUCCUGGUGUAGCGGUGAAAUGCGUAGAUAUCAGGAGGAACACCGGUGGCGAAGGCGGCCCUCUGGACGGCUACUGACGCUGAGACGCGAAAGCGUGGGGAGCAAACAGG
RNAcentral lists this ribosomal RNA (253 nucleotides) under uncultured bacterium. RNAcentral describes it as "partial 16S ribosomal RNA". It matches the Rfam family "Bacterial small subunit ribosomal RNA", at positions 524 to 776 of the family's 1533-position model. The record is from RNAcentral.